UUCGGCUUUUGUUGGUAUUUAAAAGUCCAUUGGAGAUUAUGGGGUCGUGUGACAAGCGGUCGGGCGUGUUGCUUUUGGUCUUCACGGCCAGGGCGCCGCCCGUCGCCCCCGGAAAAGAUUUCUGUGCGCCGGCGUCGUAUGCGAGACUUCGGUCCCGUAUCGUCCCGCGUACGCCUUUUUCGGCUCGCGGCAUCCAGGAAUGAAGGAGGGUAGUCCGGGGGAGAACGUAUUGGUGCGUCAGAGGUGAAAUUCUUGGACCGCACCAGGACGGACUACAGCGAAGGCAUUCUUCAAGAAUACCUUCCUCAAUCAAGAACCAAAGUGUGGGGAUCGAAGAUGAUUAGAGACCAUUGUAGUCCACACUGCAAACGAUGACACCCAUGAAUUGGGGAGUUUUUGGUCGCAGGCAGGAAAAACUGGUGAUAUCGGGUUCGUCCCAUAUCUCCUUUUCUCCUUGCCUCGCCAAUAAUAUCAAAUUUACGUGCAUAUUCUUUUAGGCCCUUUUCCUCCUUUGUGGGGAGGGGUUUUGACGGGAAUAUCCUCAGCACGUUACUUGACUUCUUCACGCGAAAGCUUUGAGGU
This 582-nucleotide ribosomal RNA is filed under the name Trypanosoma sp. MVOM/AU/97/H26. RNAcentral's name for it is "SSU rRNA". The stretch from base 1 to 402 matches the Rfam family "Eukaryotic small subunit ribosomal RNA", at positions 640 to 1112 of the family's 1831-position model. Lineage: Eukaryota; Euglenozoa; Kinetoplastea; Trypanosomatida; Trypanosomatidae. The record is from RNAcentral.